AGAAGAGAGAGAAAAGAGAAAAGGCAAAAGGGUUAUUGGCGGUGGUUUUGCCGGUGGAGGGAAGAUUUUGUAUUCGGAUCUCCUUUCCGUCCGUUUCUUGGUGCCGGUGGAGGGAAGACUUCCGUAUUUGAAUCUCCUUUUCUGCCCGUCUGUUCUUAUAUAUUUUCAGUAAAGAUUUGUCUUUAUUUGUAGUUUCGUUUACUGAUCUUUUGUUCGUUUGGUUUUGGAUUUUGGUGUGUGAGACUUCCUAUGACUACUACAUAGGGAGGGAGUUUUUUUCGCUAAUGUCGAUAACUAGAGACCGCACUGCUAUGUUCGGCAAUUAACGCUCUCGGCCAGCUCUAUUGCAUCAUCUCUUUCAAGUUGUGGUCGUCCUAUUGGAGAUUCAACCUUCUUGCUAUUCUUGGAUGGUUAGUUGAUGGUUCGGACCCGAGGAACCGAGGACCCCAGCAGUGAGAUUGCUGCUUUCGAGUCUUGUCAGAGCUAGCCAGAGGUUUGCAGGUACGGGCUAGUCCAUGAGGUCAGCAAGAUUAGAAGUGUUAUGUAAUAGCUAGUGGUGGACAUGAUGAUUAUUGAAAUGUAUAGUAUUGAAUAAUUAUGUAAUGUAAUGAUGUUAAUGAGGAUUAGAGUGGUGCUUGACCCUAGUAUGUGGUUUAUCCCUUUUAAUACAUGAUCUUUCAAAUGUAAUGAUAUUUUAUGAACCAAACUUAAUGUAUGAAUGAAUGUUUCCCA
This is a long non-coding RNA of Manihot esculenta (cassava), 732 nucleotides long. RefSeq lists it as uncharacterized. NCBI's taxonomy places the organism in Eukaryota, Viridiplantae, Streptophyta, Magnoliopsida, Malpighiales, Euphorbiaceae. The record is from RefSeq and is a predicted model, not a curated record. The transcript is spliced from 3 exons.